AUGGCUGGCCCGGGUGGGGAAGGCAGGAGGCGGCGAUCCCUGCGGAGGGGGCCGUUCGCCAGCUCCGAGGCAGAAAGUGCCACGACUCCACACGCGCGCACGCAGCCAGCGAGCGGCCGGAGCGGACGGCGGACGGGGCGGGCAGCGUCGGGAUCGAGGCGCCUGCAGCUGCUUAGGGGGCGGCUUCUCGGCGGAGGCUUGGCCGGCUCCUCUCUCUCCCGCUUCCGCGGCGGCGGCGGCGGCUCCUGCCCUCUCGCUCUCCCUCCCGCGUCUCCGGCUGCAGGCAGAGAAACAGUUGAUCCUAGACUCCGACCCCUUCUGAUGGGAGGAACUGGCCCACUCAUUUCACGCAGAACCCUGAGAGAUCAGGUUCUGGCCCUCAGCCCAGGUGGUGAAAGGAAAACCAGCCAGGAUGGAUAUUUACGACACUCAGACCUUGGGGGUUGUGGUCUUUGGUGGAUUCAUGGUUGUUUCUGCCAUCGGCAUCUUCCUCGUGUCAACCUUCUCCAUGAAGGAGACGUCGUAUGAAGAAGCUCUGGCCAACCAGCGCAAGGAAAUGGCGAAGACCAACCACCAGAAAGUGGAGAAGAAGAAGAAGGAGAAGACAGUGGAGAAGAAAGGAAAGACCAAGAAAAAGGAGGAGAAGCCCAACGGAAGAUACCUGACCAUGAGCCCACCCCUGGAGUGACCAUCCUCCCCAACCUUGUGGACUUUGGUCCCCAGCCAGCGAGAAGGGUAGUUCAUACUCGUGGUUGGGAGUGUGUCAACAGACAAAGGGUCCUCUCCCCAAGGUGAGGAGUGGACCUGGUGACGCUGUCCCCCUCCCUCUUUGCAGCCUCUGGAUGUGGAAUUCAGACCUGAGGUCUUACUUGGUCAGCCUCCCAGGACUGAUAUUUCCUGUUUCCUAAUGUGCGGAUUCACAGGCUCCGAUUUUCCUCACCACACGUUGAUCACCUUUGGGAUUGUAAUGUGCAGGUUCUCAUCUCUGCCCCUGGGUGGGUACUUGUGUUUAUCAGGCCUGGGGAAAAGGGGGCAGCAGAGAAAGAGCGCUCAUGAGACCCGCUGGCCUGGAUGCUGUGAGCGAGAGCCAGCAGCUGUGUUUGAUUUGACUCACAUGGUAUUCUUAAUAUCAGUCAACUUGAGUUGAGGAGGGGAAAAAUCUGUCCUGAUAUGAGAAGGCAAAAGAUACAUCAACCUAGUGCUCACGUUUCUGCAGUCAUCACCUGUGACCGGGUGACUCCUGCUCCUGAUGUAGUUGGCACUCUGACACAGUCCUUACCACUUCCAGUUACCUAACACUGCCCGUGCUUGUGUUCAUGUGCAUCUUUGACCCUGUGGUGGGGAACAUCUUGACCUGGGGUCACAGCUCCUGAGUCGCAUGGGCGCCACAUGCCCUGGUCAUGGAGCUGCCUGCUGCCAUCUCUCCAUGGCUUCAUGUGUCCCAGCUUGUGUAAAAGUUGCUCACUUCUGAGGGGGCAGGGAGAACAGGUGACAGCAGAGAUUGCCUGGUUUGUUUCUUCUUUGAUUUUAUCAGUCUGAAGGAUUAGUGGAACCAUAUGUUAGGUGCUGCGAGUGGGGACGGUGACUGUCAAAUGCCUCGGUUU
This 1604-nucleotide long non-coding RNA is filed under the name Bos grunniens (domestic yak). RNAcentral's name for it is "lncRNA (ENSBGRG00000004986.1)". The record is from RNAcentral. Lineage: Eukaryota; Metazoa; Chordata; Mammalia; Artiodactyla; Bovidae.